Molecule: non-coding RNA, 148 nt
Filed under: Nomascus leucogenys (northern white-cheeked gibbon)
Lineage: Eukaryota; Metazoa; Chordata; Mammalia; Primates; Hylobatidae
Source: Rfam by way of RNAcentral
GCCGGGCGUGGUGGUGCACACCUGUAAUCCCAGCUACUCAGGAGGCUGAGGCAGGAGAAUCGCUUGAACCCAGGAGGUGGAAGUUGCAGUGAGUCGAGAUCAUGCCACUGCACUCCAGCCUGGGUAACAGAGCAAGACCUUGUCUCAA